Diceros bicornis minor is the source of this 480-nucleotide long non-coding RNA. RefSeq lists it as uncharacterized. The record is from RefSeq and is a predicted model, not a curated record. The transcript is spliced from 3 exons. Lineage: Eukaryota; Metazoa; Chordata; Mammalia; Perissodactyla; Rhinocerotidae.
AUUCCUGGGAGUGUGUCCCAUGAGGACAACAGCCACCUCCCAGAACCUUAUCCUCUGCAAACCUUCUCCUCCAGGUUAUUGACAUUCAAGGCAUUUGCCCAGCUCUUCAUCUUGGGGAGCUCCCGGGUGUUGGGCAUUUUCCAGAUUGGACCCUUGGCUGGUAUCAUGGCCUACCUGUUCACCAUCAUCAACAGCCUGCAGGGGGCCUUCAUCUUCCUCAUUCACUGUCUGCUCAACCGCCGGGUACGGGAAGAUUACAGAAGAUGGAUUACCAGGAAGACCACACCCGGAUCCCAGUCCCAGACAUCAGGGGUCAUACUGACAUCCUUUGCCUUCACUUCCAAAACGGGUUAAAGCUCUUUCUUGCUUUCAAAUACGCUAUGAAGCAACAUUUGAGGACAGCAGGUGCCGGCAGGAGCUGACGCUGAAAUCUUCUCUUCAUGGCUUAAUGUGGAAUUGCAGAUCUCACCAGCCCCAGGA